Long non-coding RNA from Alexandromys fortis (reed vole), 360 nucleotides. RefSeq lists it as uncharacterized. NCBI's taxonomy places the organism in Eukaryota, Metazoa, Chordata, Mammalia, Rodentia, Cricetidae. The record is from RefSeq and is a predicted model, not a curated record. The transcript has 3 exons.
UCCAGGUCACUUGGGGUUGAACUCUUCCCCUGUGUGGGUUAUGAGUCUUGGCCCCAGUCUCGGUUCCCGGCUCAUCUCAUCAUUAAACCUUGUGUGAUUGCUGCAAGAACGGUCUCUCUUUUACAGGUCCAUAGGUGGAAGGAAGCUGGUGUAUUUUAGAGUUUACCCAGGAGCUUCACUGGUACCCAGAACUGACUGAGAUGGUGAAAGAACAGGAUGUAAAGGCCUCAGCUACUGUUCCAAAGCCAUGCCCGUCUGAUUUCCACAUUGAUAAUCAUGGACUAAACCUAUAUAACUUCCCUUUUAAGUUGUAUGCUAAUUGAUGAACACAGAAAAGAAAUAAAGCAUAUAUUUACUUUA